Molecule: unclassified non-coding RNA, 358 nt
Filed under: soil metagenome
Description: partial contains 5.8S ribosomal RNA, internal transcribed spacer 2, and large subunit ribosomal RNA
Rfam family: 5.8S ribosomal RNA (bases 1-120)
Source: RNAcentral
GAUGAAGAACGCAGCUAAAUGCGAUACGUAAUGUGAAUUGCAGAAUUCAGUGAAUCAUCGAAUCUUUGAACGCACAUUGCGCCCGCCAGUAUUCUGGCGGGCAUGCCUGUCCGAGCGUCAUUUCAACCCUCGAACCCCUCCGGGGGGUCGGCGUUGGGGACCUCGGGAGCCCCUAAGACGGGAUCCCGGCCCCGAAAUACAGUGGCGGUCUCGCCGCAGCCUCUCCUGCGCAGUAGUUUGCACAACUCGCACCGGGAGCGCGGCGCGUCCACGUCCGUAAAACACCCAACUUCUGAAAUGUUGACCUCGGAUCAGGUAGGAAUACCCGCUGAACUUAAGCAUAUCAAUAAGCGGAGGA